CGGGAAGUAGCACAGCCUGGCUAGUGCGCUUGCUUCGGGAGCAAGAGGUCGGCGGUUCAAAUCCGCUCUUCCCGACCA
This 78-nucleotide transfer RNA is filed under the name Holosporales bacterium. Its description in RNAcentral is "tRNA-Pro". It matches the Rfam family "tRNA". From Rfam's summary of the family: Transfer RNA (tRNA) molecules are approximately 80 nucleotides in length. Their secondary structure includes four short double-helical elements and three loops (D, anti-codon, and T loops). Further hydrogen bonds mediate the characteristic L-shaped molecular structure. tRNAs have two regions of fundamental functional importance: the anti-codon, which is responsible for specific mRNA codon recognition, and the 3' end, to which the tRNAs corresponding amino acid is attached (by aminoacyl-tRNA synthetases). tRNAs cope with the degeneracy of the genetic code in two manners: having more than one tRNA (with a specific anti-codon) for a particular amino acid; and 'wobble' base-pairing, i.e. permitting non-standard base-pairing at the 3rd anti-codon position. The record is from RNAcentral. Lineage: Bacteria; Pseudomonadati; Pseudomonadota; Alphaproteobacteria; Holosporales.